AUGAGCGGGAAACGGGACUCGAACCCGCGACAGUCUGCAUGGCAAGCAGAAACUCUACCAACUGAGUUAUUCCCGC
RNAcentral lists this transfer RNA (76 nucleotides) under Brachyspira hyodysenteriae WA1. Its description in RNAcentral is "tRNA-Gly". Lineage: Bacteria; Pseudomonadati; Spirochaetota; Spirochaetia; Brachyspirales; Brachyspiraceae. The record is from RNAcentral.